UACGUAGGGGGCAAGCGUUGUCCGGAUUCAUUGGGCGUAAAGCGCGUGUAGGCGGCCAGAUAGGUCUGCUGUGAAAACUCGAGGCUCAACCUCGAGCUGUCGGCGGAAACCAUCUGGCUAGAGUCCGGAAGAGGAGAGUGGAAUUCCCGGUGUAGCGGUGAAAUGCGCAGAUAUCAGGAAGAACACCAAUGGCGAAGGCAGCUCUCUGGGACGGUACUGACGCUGAGACGCGAAAGCGUGGGGAGCGAACAGG
This 253-nucleotide ribosomal RNA is filed under the name uncultured bacterium. Its description in RNAcentral is "partial 16S ribosomal RNA". It matches the Rfam family "Bacterial small subunit ribosomal RNA", at positions 524 to 776 of the family's 1533-position model. The record is from RNAcentral.